RNAcentral lists this ribosomal RNA (301 nucleotides) under uncultured bacterium. RNAcentral's name for it is "partial 16S ribosomal RNA". It matches the Rfam family "Bacterial small subunit ribosomal RNA", at positions 509 to 809 of the family's 1533-position model. The record is from RNAcentral.
CAGCAGCCACGGGAAUACGGAGGGUGCAAGCGUUAAUCGGAAUUACUGGGCGUAAAGCGCACGCAGGCGGUCUGACAAGUCAGAUGUGAAAUCCCCGGGCUUAACCUGGGAACUGCAUUUGAAACUGUCAGGCUGGAGUCUUGUAGAGGGGGGUAGAAUUCCAGGUGUAGCGGUGAAAUGCGUAGAGAUCUGGAGGAAUACCGGUGGCGAAGGCGGCCCCCUGGACAAAGACUGACGCUCAGGUGCGAAAGCGUGGGGAGCAAACAGGAUUAGAUACCCGUGUAGUCCCUGUCUCUUAUAA